GAAAUAUAAAACAAUUAAGCUGCUAACUUAAUUUUUAGUGAAUAAAAUCAUUAAUAUUUCU
Molecule: transfer RNA, 61 nt
Filed under: Limenitis albomaculata
Lineage: Eukaryota; Metazoa; Arthropoda; Insecta; Lepidoptera; Nymphalidae
Description: tRNA-Ser
Source: RNAcentral